AAGCGAGGACGGCCUCCCCCAGCUCUGGGAAAACGCGUCCGGGACGGCCCGG
Molecule: non-coding RNA, 52 nt
Filed under: Roseibium suaedae
Lineage: Bacteria; Pseudomonadati; Pseudomonadota; Alphaproteobacteria; Hyphomicrobiales; Stappiaceae
Description: Labrenzia suaedae Guanidine-II sequence
Rfam family: Guanidine-II riboswitch aptamer (mini-ykkC)
About the family: Simpler in structure and has fewer highly conserved nucleotide positions than the ykkC-yxkD leader. Despite this each of its two stem-loop structures directly bind free guanidine.
Source: Rfam by way of RNAcentral